RNAcentral lists this ribosomal RNA (1515 nucleotides) under Bovienia raipurensis. RNAcentral's name for it is "partial large subunit ribosomal RNA". It matches the Rfam family "Eukaryotic large subunit ribosomal RNA", at positions 44 to 929 of the family's 3401-position model. Lineage: Eukaryota; Metazoa; Platyhelminthes; Cestoda; Caryophyllidea; Lytocestidae. The record is from RNAcentral.
CACUAAGCGGAGGAAAAGAAACUAACCAGGAUUCCCCUAGUAACGGCGAGUGAAGAGGGAAAAGCCCAGCACCGAAGCCUGUGGCAGUUUUGCUACUAGGCAAUGUGGUGUUUAGGUCGGCUCGCGGGAUCGCCACUCCACUCGAAGUCCAGCCUUGAUUAUGGUUGCCAGGAAUUGGCCCAUAGCGGGUGAUAGGCCCGUACGGGUGGAGGUGUCAGAUGUGUCAGGCGAUUCACCAGGCCGGCCUUAGAGUCGGGUUGUUUGCGAAUGCAGCCCAAAGUGGGUGGUAAACUCCAUCCAAGGCUAAAUACUAGCACGAGUCCGAUAGCGAACAAGUACCGUGAGGGAAAGUUGAAAAGUACUUUGAAGAGAGAGUAAACAGUACGUGAAACCGCAUAGAGGUAAACGGGUGGCGUCAAGCUGCAAGCCCGGAGAAUUCAGUCGGUCAGGGUGUCGACCUGUGCUCAGCGCAGUCAUCAGUCGGUGUGGAGUGUGGCUAGUCUGCCGGCAGACGGCAGGCCCAGCUGUCAUAGGCUGGGAUUUGCGUACCGAGUGGAAGUCGGAGCAAGCUAGCCGUCCGUAGGACUGCCUGGCCGAUGCACUUUCUCUGUGGUGAACACCACGACCGGUGGAACUGCCAGUCUACCUUAGCCAGCUUUGCUACACGAUCUGGCCCCUAACCGGGUCGGGUCGGGUGGUGAUCACAGGCAAUUUCAGUGCACGGUGCCUGCGGGUUCUAAUCCGCCCGUAGGCAUGUUAUCGGGAACUGGUUGUCAACGGGUCGGCUCGGACACUGUUCUGUGGAUGUGGUGUCUGGGUGGCUCGGUGGGCUAUGGCGGCGGGAGAAGCUGUGCAGGGCACCGGAGAUGUCGGUCUGUUGAUGUCGGCGGCUGCGCACGCACUACAGCUUGGCGUGUGUUCUGUUGUCCCAGGCACUGAUAGCGUUGCCAGGGCCUGCCAAUGCUCGGGUCUGAUCAUCGUGUCGCCUGUCAAAAUGACGGGUCCGGUGGUGGCCUGGAGUUGGAUGGUGCCUGUUGGCGGCGUGGUCGUAGUGCAGCCGUGGUUAGAGGCCGGAUAGUCAGUGGUGUAGUGGUAGACGAGCUACCCGACCCGUCUUGAAACACGGACCAAGAAGUUCAACAUGUGCGCGAGUCAUUGGGUCCUACGAAACCCACAGGCGCAGUGAAAGUGAAGCUCCGGCAUGGUUUCGGCCGUGUCGGGGUGUGGUGAGAUCCCACUGUUUCUCGCCGCUACAGCUGUCUGAGCUAAUUGAACGAGCAGUGGGCGCAUCACCGGCCCGUCCCAUGAUGUGGCUACCGGUCAGCGGUGUGGUCGGAGUGAUCUGGCCGCCUGUCUGAUGGGUACGUCAUCGGGGCGGAGCAUGAGCGCACAUGUUGAGACCCGAAAGAUGGUGAACUAUGCUUGCGUAGGUUGAAGCCAGAGGAAACUCUGGUGGAGGACCGCAGCGAUUCUGACGUGCAAAUCGAUCGUCAAACGUGAGCAUAGGGGCGAAAG